Molecule: ribosomal RNA, 495 nt
Filed under: uncultured bacterium
Lineage: Bacteria
Description: bacterial SSU rRNA
Rfam family: Bacterial small subunit ribosomal RNA
Source: RNAcentral
GACGGAGUGACGUCGCGUGUGGGACGAAGGCCUUCGGGUCGUAAACCACUGUCAGUGGGAAAGAUGGGAGUCGGGGCUAAUACCUCCGGCAUCUGACGGUACCUGCAGAGGAAGCCCCGGCCAACUCUGUGCCAGCAGCCGCGGUAAGACAGAGGGGGCAAGCGUUGCUCGGAAUUACUGGGCGUAAAGGGCGCGUAGGCGGGAUGGCAAGUCGGUCGUGAAAUCCCUCGGCUCAACCGAGGAACGUCGAUCGAUACUGCUGUUCUUGAGUAUGGCAGAGGAGACUGGAAUUCCCGGUGUAGCGGUGAAAUGUGUAGAUAUCGGGAGGAACACCGGUGGCGAAGGCGGGUCUCUGGGCAAUUCCUGACGCUGAGGCGCGAAAGCGUGGGGAGCAAACGGGAUUAGAUACCCCGGUAGUCCACGCUGUAAACGAUGACUACUAGGUGUGGGGGGGUUCAGUCCCUUCCGUGCCGCAGCUAACGCAUUAAGUUCUCC